UAGGUAGGCUGGGCGAUCGCGCUGACAUUGUCAGGGAGGAAAGUCCGAGCUCCACCGGGCAGGAUGCUGGCUAACGGCCAGGCGGGGAAACCCGACGGAAAGUGCCACAGAAAACAUACCGCCCCGUUCGCGGGGUAAGGGCGAACCGGUGAGGCAAGAGCUCACCGCUCCGGUGGCGACACCGGGGGCACGGCAAACCCCACCCGGAGCAAGGCCGAAUAGGAGGACGAUGGGCGCCCGGCCCGUCCUCGGGUUGGCUGCUAGAGGCGCUGGGCAACCGGCGUCCCAGAUAGAUGAUCGCCGUCCCGCCGUUUGACGGGAUACAGAACUCGGCUUACAGGCCUGCCUAUCAA
Molecule: RNase P RNA, 353 nt
Filed under: Chloroflexota bacterium
Lineage: Bacteria; Bacillati; Chloroflexota
Description: RNase P RNA component class A
Rfam family: Bacterial RNase P class A
About the family: Ribonuclease P (RNase P) is a ubiquitous endoribonuclease, found in archaea, bacteria and eukarya as well as chloroplasts and mitochondria. Its best characterised activity is the generation of mature 5'-ends of tRNAs by cleaving the 5'-leader elements of precursor-tRNAs.
Source: RNAcentral